GCAGUCAGAGGCGAUGAAGGGCGUGCUAAUCUGCGAUAAGCGCCGGUAAGGUGAUAUGAACCGUUAUAACCGGCGAUACCCGAAUGGGGAAACCCAGUGUGACUCGUCACACUAUCAUUAACUGAAUCCAUAGGUUAAUGAGGCGAACCGGGGGAACUGAAACAUCUAAGUACCCCGAGGAAAAGAAAUCAACCGAGAUUCCCCCAGUAGCGGCGAGCGAACGGGGAGGAGCCCAGAGCCUGAAUCAGCAUGUGUGUUAGUGGAAGCGUCUGGAAAGGCGCGCGAUACAGGGUGACAGCCCCGUACACAAAAGCGCAUGUGCUGUGAGCUCGAUGAGUAGGGCGGGACACGUGGUAUCCUGUCUGAAUAUGGGGGGACCAUCCUCCAAGGCUAAAUACUCCUGACUGACCGAUAGUGAACCAGUACCGUGAGGGAAAGGCGAAAAGAACCCCGGCGAGGGGAGUGAAAAAGAACCUGAAACCGUGUACGUACAAGCAGUGGGAGCACCCUUUGGGUGUGACUGCGUACCUUUUGUAUAAUGGGUCAGCGACUUAUAUUCUGUAGCAAGGUUAACCGAAUAGGGGAGC
This 587-nucleotide ribosomal RNA is filed under the name Salmonella enterica. RNAcentral's name for it is "partial 23S ribosomal RNA". It matches the Rfam family "Bacterial large subunit ribosomal RNA", at positions 36 to 666 of the family's 2925-position model. Lineage: Bacteria; Pseudomonadati; Pseudomonadota; Gammaproteobacteria; Enterobacterales; Enterobacteriaceae. The record is from RNAcentral.